AUAACCCUCCCUCUUUCACAUUCUUCUCCUCCAUCACAUUCUCAUUCACUCACUCCUUAUCAUCACCAAACCCAUAUCUCCCUCUCCCUCUCACUCUACCACUCAAUAAACUAAAACACCCUUUAUUUUCUUUACAAAGCAAAUGCUUUGGCUCUCCAAAGCAGGAAGAAUACCAUUUUGGGAAGCUAUGUUUUUUGUGGGGAAUGUUGUCUGGCUCGAGGACUCUUUCAUCUUGGUCAAUACUUUUGAUCAAGUAGUGUAUAGUGUUGUCGGACCAGGCUUCAUUCCCCUCAAU
Lupinus albus (white lupine) is the source of this 295-nucleotide non-coding RNA. The record is from the annotation of a GenBank genome assembly. Lineage: Eukaryota; Viridiplantae; Streptophyta; Magnoliopsida; Fabales; Fabaceae.